This 253-nucleotide ribosomal RNA is filed under the name uncultured bacterium. RNAcentral's name for it is "partial 16S ribosomal RNA". It matches the Rfam family "Bacterial small subunit ribosomal RNA", at positions 524 to 776 of the family's 1533-position model. The record is from RNAcentral.
UACGUAGGGUGCAAGCGUUGUCCGGAAUUAUUGGGCGUAAAGAGCUCGUAGGCGGUCUGUCGCGUCUGCUGUGAAAACUCGGGGCUUAACCCCGGGCCUGCAGUGGGCACGGGCAGACUAGAGUGCGGUAGGGGAGACUGGAAUUCCUGGUGUAGCGGUGAAAUGCGCAGAUAUCAGGAGGAACACCGGUGGCGAAGGCGGGUCUCUGGGCCGUAACUGACGCUGAGGAGCGAAAGCGUGGGGAGCGAACAGG